AGCAGCCGCGGUAAUUCCAGCUCCAAUAGCGUAUAUUAAAGUUGCUGCAGUUAAAAGCUCGUAGUUGAAUUUCGGGACUAAUAUGUCGGUCGUGCCUCGGUACGUACUGGUUUAUUGGUUUCUCCUUUCUGAAGAACCAUGAUGUCAUUUAUUUGGUGUCGUGGGGAAUCAGGACUGUUACUUUGAAAAAUUAGAGUGUUUAAAGCAGGCUCACGCUUGAAUACAUUAGCAUGGAAUAAUGAAAUAGGACGUUUGAUUCUAUUUUGUUGGUUUCUAGGAUCGACGUAAUGAUUAAUAGGGAUAGUUGGGGGCAUUAGUAUUCAAUUGUCAGAGGUGAAAUUCUUGGAUUUAUUGAAGACUAACUACUGCGAAAGCAUUUGCCAAGGAUGUUUUCAUUAAUCAAGAACGAAAGUUAGGGAUCGAAGACGAUCAGAUACCGUCGUAGUCUUAACCAUAAACUAUGCCGACUAGGGAUCGGAUGAUGUUUAAUUUUUAAUGACUCAUUCGGCGCCUUACGGGU
RNAcentral lists this unclassified non-coding RNA (520 nucleotides) under uncultured Glomus. RNAcentral's name for it is "SSU rRNA". It matches the Rfam family "Eukaryotic small subunit ribosomal RNA", at positions 569 to 1095 of the family's 1831-position model. Lineage: Eukaryota; Fungi; Glomeromycota; Glomeromycetes; Glomerales; Glomeraceae. The record is from RNAcentral.